UUUUGUCUCCUUUUUUUCUUCAGCUCUUACACAAACAAUAUGCAUUUAAAAAUAGGUUAAACUUGCAAAUAAAUAUCUAGCCAUCAGACAAAUGUAACACGUGGCAGUAGGGGAAGGAGAUAACUGCAAGCUGCAGAAUUGGUUGAGGAUAUGAACUGAUGAUCAACGUCAGGCUGAAUCUGAGAACCAAGAAUAACCACUUCACCAGAGACCACCUUUUACUACCUCUCUUUGAAAAUGGCUAGAUUUUUCUGGAAUCUAGCAAUUAAACUCCAAAAUCCAGCAAAAAAAAUUACAGAUCCCUGAAAUCCCCAAUGUCCCUGUGUUGUUCCUUCUUACUUUAAAACACAAACUACAAAUUUUACAACUCUUCAAAAUCUUGUCUUGCUUGCUGAAGUGUAUUAAGGAAAUAUAUGGGGAUGAAGGAUGCUUUCAUUCCAAUACAUUCCUUCUUCUGUAUAACCUGAUUUAUUGCACAAUGCAUCCAUUAUUUUUAUUUUGAAAAUGUGUUCAGUAUUUCAUUUUGUGAGAUAAAUAUUCAGUUGACUACCAUGAAAGUGUUGUAUGAAGGCUCAAGGUACGAUAAAGAAACUUUUCAAAGGGUCCCUCAGUUGGAUUUUCACUGAACUUUGUGGACGGUGCCUAAUGCAAGGCUGGGGAGGGGCCAGGAGGAGACUGUGCUGAGCAGCCAUUCCAAGAGUUACAAACUGAGUUCAGAGGGUUGCAGGCUGUUUCUGGAAGUGCAGCACUCUAUAUAGAGCUGAAUUACUAAAGCUAAGGGAAGAUGUCAAUAUAAAAGUGCAGUGACAUCUCAGCGAUACAGAACCAUACAACAGGGAGAAGUAAGAUCUUAUGGACUACAAAGAUUUGAAACAAGGUUGAUUAUGAUUCCUUAUUCUCAGCUCCUCCUUCAAAGCCUGCGAGUUGGAAUAAGUGGAUCUUACUGAUUACAUUUGCAGUUGAGUCUGAUCCCAGAAAAGCUUCAAGAUUUUGACCCUGGCCUGUUUCCAUUGGAGAUUUUUGCUUCAUAGGGUUUUCCAGCAAAUCUCCGGUGGAUGAAGGAUUUCUGUAUACUGAAGUUCACUGGUCCCCAAGCAGAGCUGUACCAGGCAAUCCUGGGGACCCAGAAGUCUUGUCUGAACCUCUGUUCCCCAGGUGUGAACUUGGAGAACAUCUACAAUCUCAUUCUGAGCCUGACUGGGUAGAAGCUGAGAGAGCUGGCAGUGCUAAGGAGAAGCAUCACUGAGAACCACUUCUUCAAGGCUUUUACAUCCCAGGGAAUGACCUGGCUGCUCCAGAGAGGUUCUAUGGAAUUGGUAUAUGGAUUAAGGAUGAUGUUGUGAUGACAGAGAACAUGCCACUGAUCCUUUUCAUAGACUGCCCUGAGGAGCUCUACCAUAUUAAGCGCAUAUAUAGUCACAGCUCAUUACUUCUCUCUUCUGCCUCUUCCACCUUCCUCUAGUUUCUCAGGAAUCCUGCUCCUGUGCACCCUGACAGAGAUGCAUUUAUUUGUAAAUGGAUAUAGUUCUUGGGCAGUGAGGGUUGGGCCGGGCUGUUGAUCCUUUAUGGACUCUGGAUUUAGGAGCGAGAGUUGAAGUAUAACAACAUGACUAUCAAAAAAUAAAGAAACCGUGAGUUCUGUAUUUAAUGUUUGUUCCAGUUAGUGCUGACAUGAAUAUCAGGAAUUUUGAAAGUGGAUUCUCUGCCUGUUCACGUGGCUCUUUGUGUCUGCUGUAGUUCACACGGUAUAAUGAUCUUGCUUAGUAUAGUUAGUGACCUGCUUCCUCCUCCCCUCUUGCAGCUAAAAUGCAGAGACUGAUAAUCAGGUUCCACACAGAUUUUUUGUUAGGGCCCCACAUAAAUCCAAUCUAUCCCAAAUGUUCAAAGGGUUAGAAAGGACAUUUUUGUGGGGUAGUUGUUCAAGCAUGUGAUGAUUUUGGUAGCUGCACAGCAGGAGACUGUUUGGCAAGCAGGGAACUGUUCGUCAUUUUGGAGUGUUGGAAUGAUCUUGGGGCCUUGUUUUCAGGUGGCCUAGGAGCAUAUGGCAGUUGGGAAUAGGGGGUCAUCUUGCCUAAAGAAGAGGGAAGCAAUUAAGAGCAGGGACGAAUGAAGUUUGGAGCUCUUUUCAUGGUGGUUUGGAUUACCCAGUAUUUCUGUCUGUGCUCCCCACCCCCUUUCUCAGCCUUGCAGUUUACUUUCCUUUCCCUUGUUUCCCUAGUGAUUUGAAAAAUGAUCCAAUCUUAAAAGCAUCACUGGUGCCUUAGGACUAAAAUGCUUUAUUUCUUUUGGGGCUGAGGCUUUUCAAAGCAAAACUGCUGGUCGUCUUUCUGCAGCAGCUAGUGGUAUCUCCAGUUCUGAGCAGGGGGGUUGGACUCCUUUCUAGAAGAAAGAAAUUAGAUGGAGCUUCAAGAACUGACUAAUCUUUUUAAGUAAGCCACAACAGAUCUACUGACUCUGAUGUCUUUACAAAGUGAAGGAUAGUUAGGAUAAAACCUGCCAUUUUAAUCAAAAGAGUUCCAAAGUGUAAUUCCAUAUACUAGGGUCUAUGUAUGUAUGCACAGAAGUUUAUACCUAAAUAAAUAAGGAUGCAUCUGCAGAUUCUACUCAGCACUUAAAGGAAUGGACACAAGUGUUUCAGUAUCGCAGUGCAGCAAUGUUUUUUAAUAACAAUAUAUUUUUUUAAUACCCUUUAGUAUAGUGUGGCUUCAUUAAAGAUUUUUUUACUGCUGCUUCCCUUCAUUCCCUGCCAGACAGUGCAUCAUAAACCCAGACAUACGGGUCUGCAGAUUGCACGGCUUUUACCCAUCAGCUGUCAUCCCCUUGCAAUGACGUCAGCAGGGUUGGGUGGUUUAUAAUUUACAUGGUAAUAGUAACUUAAAGGGAAAAUAGUUAAUAUUCUUCCUAUGUGUGUGCCUUGCUAUGUGUUUUCCUAAUUGUUCAGAAAUCUUAUUGACUAUAUAGAGAUUCAUUAUUUUAAAGGGACAUUACCAACUAGAUUUAGGUUUCAAAUUUAGGUGUUGUAAAAAGAAGGGUUUUGUGUAAAUAAAUACAAAUGAAACUAUUUCCCUAUUUUGGAUGGGUGGGGAAAUAAAUAUCUAGAGGUGCACUGAUAUAUCGGUUGCAUAUCAGAUUGUCACUGAUAAAAGAAAAUUAACAUUAUUGGGUAUUGGCUGUUUUUGGCUGGUGUAGCUGAUAAUGCCUUCUGGUGGGGGCCCCUGGAUGCUGCGUACAUGCGCACAGCCACACACCCAUGCAUGCAGCCAGGAAUGCAGCCAGGCAGCAUGGAGAGCAGCUCCCUGCAGGUAAGUCUUAGAGGGGAAGGGAUGUGGGGGGCGGGGGAAUAGGGGCGUGGGAGGGCAGAUUGAGGCCCCCAUGGUGAGGGAGGGAGUGGACGUGGGGGUACUGCCCAGCCAGGGUGGUGAACAGGACCCAGGGCUGGGGCAGGGAGCAGGAUAGAGCUGCGGGCAGCUUGUCCAGGGAGCGCAAGGGGACGGAGUGGGGAGGUGGGGGCGGCUCCCCGCUGCUGCAUGUACACCCGAAGGGAGGCAUGGGGGGCAUGUGCCCCCCAAGAUUUGUGCAUGGGACAGAUGUGGGCUGCUCACUGUGGGCUUGGGCUCUCCACCAUGCUGCCUUUCCCUCAGGAGCUUUGCGCUGGCUGCAUGCACCCUGCUCACCUGGCAGCAGUGUGGGGCAAUGAGUUGUGCCUCCUGUUGCUGGGAGGGCAGGGGACGCAUAGCUGCUGUGAGGCUCCCAAGGGAAGAGGCAGCAGAGCGGAGAGUCCUGAGCCUGCAGCGGGCUGCCUGCAUCUGCUCUUGCCCUGCUUGGCUUGACUUAAAAGUGUCCCCACGCUUUAAAAUGGUACCAGUACUGCUUGAACUAAAGCCCAUUUGAUGAGCUUUAGUUCAAGUGCUGCCGUUGCCAUUUUAAGUUCCAGGAUGCUGAUCCCCUGGAUGAACCACCUGCUACUCUGUUCCACUCCCCACCCCAGCCCCAGGUCCUAUUCACCACUCUGGCUGGGCAGCAUCCCCAGCCUCUGCCCCACUCUCUCCCUCACUGUGGGGGCUUCCGUCUGCCCCUCCCCACCAUGUCCCUUCCCUCCCCUUCUCAGAUUUACCUGCAGAGAGCUGCUCUCCACACUGUCUGGCUGCAUUCCUGUAAAUCAGUUAUCAGAUCGGUGUUGGCUGCCGAUAUGGCUGGUUAAUAAUUGGCUAUUGGUUGGUCAAGAAAAUCUUUAUCACUGCACCCGUAUAAAUAUCUCAUAACCUUUUUCUCUAAAGCAUUCUCUUGUGAUGCCACUACACAAAGUCCUGUUACUAGUAUGAGAACUGGGAAGGCAAGCUGAUUCAGCUUUUUGUCCACGGGGUAAUGUACAAAUAAACACGCAGCAUUAAUGGGGAAAGAGACUUAAAUGGAAAACAUUCUGUGUUAAUGCUCAUAAAUCAAAUAAGGCAUUUUCUUGCAAUUAUGAUGACUUAUCUUGGUAGUUUUUAUAACCUGUAGACUUAGACCCUGAUUCUGUAAAGUAUACGUAUGCAUUUAAUUUUAAACAGAAGAAAAUGUAGCUUUUGAACACUAGUUAUAUUGAAAACAAUGGCAAAACUCCCAUUUAGUGUGACCGUUACCGUCCCUGUAUUAUUUACCUCUAACUGGAUGUUCACUUUGUGGAAUCAGAAAAAAUAUAUGCCUUAAACUUUGAUUAUUUUAGUUAUAAGAUGACAUAACCGCUUUGUGUAGAAUUGCUGGCUCUGUACAGUAGAACAGAUAAGGGCAAGUGUUUGUUCUUUGUAACUCCUCUGCAACUGCUUUGCUCACCGUGGCCUUGAAGGUAACAAAAGAAAAGUAUAUACAAAGUUAAUUUCCAGGUGCAAGGAGGUUUGUGAACUAAUCUCGCCUCCCCCAUUAGUUCCCAUCCUGAUUACAGCAAAAAAAUAAUGAAGUAAUAUUAUAGCCGCUUUUCAUGCUAAUUUCACUAUAUGAUCACGUGAGUUGUAAGCAACUGUUAAAAAGUAUAUAAGCCUCCUGAUUUUGCUCUGGGGGGGGGACCCCUUCCAAGUGCUUGGGAAAUCCAUGUCACUUUGGAACUCCCCCUACAGCUGUAGUUUCUUUUGAAUAAAAGCUUCUGCUGACCUGA
Molecule: long non-coding RNA, 5131 nt
Organism: Alligator mississippiensis (American alligator)
Lineage: Eukaryota; Metazoa; Chordata; Crocodylia; Alligatoridae
Exons: 7
Source: RefSeq, a predicted model, not a curated record